CGUACUUUGAUUCAAUGCGAUGUGGGGACGGAGAAGGUUAGGUUAGCAAACUGUUGGAAUAGUUUGUUCAAGCCGGUAGGUGGAAGACUUAGGCAAAUCCGGGUCUUCAUAACACCGAGAAGUGAUAACGAGUGUCUACGGACACGAAGUAACCGAUACCACGCUUCCAGGAAAAGCCACUAAGCUUCAGUUGAAUCAGAACCG
Molecule: ribosomal RNA, 204 nt
Filed under: Neisseria animalis
Lineage: Bacteria; Pseudomonadati; Pseudomonadota; Betaproteobacteria; Neisseriales; Neisseriaceae
Description: partial 23S ribosomal RNA
Rfam family: Bacterial large subunit ribosomal RNA
Source: RNAcentral